GUAAAAUGGCCGAUUAAGGUGAUAAAUUGUAAAUUUAUUUAUGAAAUUAUUCUUUUACU
This 59-nucleotide transfer RNA is filed under the name Alectorobius capensis. RNAcentral's name for it is "tRNA-Tyr". Lineage: Eukaryota; Metazoa; Arthropoda; Arachnida; Ixodida; Argasidae. The record is from RNAcentral.